This 283-nucleotide ribosomal RNA is filed under the name Plasmodium vivax (malaria parasite P. vivax). RNAcentral describes it as "partial small subunit ribosomal RNA". It matches the Rfam family "Eukaryotic small subunit ribosomal RNA", at positions 918 to 1166 of the family's 1831-position model. The record is from RNAcentral. Lineage: Eukaryota; Apicomplexa; Aconoidasida; Haemosporida; Plasmodiidae.
UCUUAGAUUUUCUGGAGACAAACAACUGCGAAAGCAUUUGCCUAAAAUACUUCCAUUAAUCAAGAACGAAAGUUAAGGGAGUGAAGACGAUCAGAUACCGUCGUAAUCUUAACCAUAAACUAUGCCGACUAGGCUUUGGAUGAAAGAUUUUAAAAUAAGAAUUUUCUCUUCGGAGUUUAUUCUUAGAUUGCUUCCUUCAGUGCCUUAUGAGAAAUCAAAGUCUUUGGGUUCUGGGGCGAGUAUUCGCGCAAGCGAGAAAGUUAAAAGAAUUGAAAGGAGGGCA